CCUCCGAUCUGAGAUCACCAUGAUGACUUACAAGCAACUCACUGUACUUUGAUGUCGAACUAACUGAGUUUUUAAUUUAGUGAUGAAAUAUUUUUGGGUGCAGUCAAGUAGUUGUCAAGUCGGUGCGUGAGUCAAGAUGGGAUUGAUCCCUCCAAAUUAGUAGGAGCUAAUGUAUCAAUGUAUUUCAAUUUAGCAAAAUAUGGGCCCAAAUAAUCCAUGUGAUAGAUUUGAAAG
This 234-nucleotide long non-coding RNA is filed under the name Elaeis guineensis (African oil palm). Its description in RNAcentral is "long non-coding RNA (EGUI_LNC003154)". Lineage: Eukaryota; Viridiplantae; Streptophyta; Magnoliopsida; Arecales; Arecaceae. The record is from RNAcentral.